UACGUAGGUGGCGAGCGUUACUCGGAAUCACUGGGCAUAAAGGGCGUGUAGGCGGGCGCGUAAGUCCGGUGUAAAAGCCCCCGGCUCAACCGGGGAAGGCCAUUGGAUACUGCGUGUCUUGAGUGCGGGAGGGGAGAGUGGAACUCUUGGUGGAGCGGUGAAAUGCGUAGAUAUCAAGAGGAACGCCGGUGGCGAAAGCGACUCUCUGGCCCGUUACUGACGCUGAGGCGCGAAAGCUAGGGGAGCAAACGGG
RNAcentral lists this ribosomal RNA (253 nucleotides) under uncultured microorganism. Its description in RNAcentral is "partial small subunit ribosomal RNA". It matches the Rfam family "Bacterial small subunit ribosomal RNA", at positions 524 to 776 of the family's 1533-position model. The record is from RNAcentral.